GCCCAGUGAAUUAUUUUCAACGGCCGCGGUAUCUUAACCGUGCAAAGGUAGCAUAAUCACUUGCCCAUUAAUUGUGGGCUAGAAUGAAGGGACCAACGAAAUAAAAACUGUCUCUAUAAGCCUAGUAAAAAUUAAUCUCUAACUGAAGAUUGUUAGAUUAUGUUGAAGGACAAGAAGACCCUAUAGAGCUUUAUCUUAAUAAAUAACUUAAAAUUUUAUAUGAUUCGGUUGGGGCGACCAGGGAAAUUAAUCAUCAUCCCCAUAGCAAAGAUAAAUAAAUCUUAUAAAUGACCCUUAAUAGAGAUCACCAAACCAAGCUACCUUAGGGAUAACAGGCUAAUUACACUAAAGAGUCCUUAUUGAUAGUGUAGUUUGGCACCUCGAUGUUGGCUUAGGGAAUCCGUAUGGCGCAAAAGUCAUAUAAAGAUGGUUUGUUCAACCAGUAAUACCCUACAUGAGCUGAGUUCAGACCGGCGUAAGCCAGGUUAGUUUCUAUCCUCAAUAAAUUAAUCUAUUUAUAGUACGAAAGGACCUAAAUAUGAGUAAUAAUUACAUCUGAAGAACGCUUAUAAAGCCUUAUUAAAUAUAAUAGUCUAUCCCCUAUAAUGAUAAGUUGGCAGAAUAGUGCCACCGACUUAGGAUCAGUUCAUGGAUAUAAUCCACUUAUCAGUUUGCAACUUAGUUCAAUUAGAACAAUCAACUUGCACUUGAUAGGAGAGACCGUCUCAGUAGCGGCUUAAAGUUUUGGAAACACUGGACCUUGAAAGUCCAUUUAAGAUGUUCGACUCAUCUUUAAGCCCAACAAGAUGGCAGAAUA
RNAcentral lists this ribosomal RNA (817 nucleotides) under Lumbricidae sp. Lu_151. RNAcentral describes it as "partial 16S ribosomal RNA". The stretch from base 1 to 519 matches the Rfam family "Bacterial large subunit ribosomal RNA", at positions 1861 to 2925 of the family's 2925-position model. The record is from RNAcentral. Lineage: Eukaryota; Metazoa; Annelida; Clitellata; Crassiclitellata; Lumbricidae.